RNAcentral lists this ribosomal RNA (497 nucleotides) under uncultured bacterium. RNAcentral's name for it is "partial 16S ribosomal RNA". It matches the Rfam family "Bacterial small subunit ribosomal RNA", at positions 28 to 507 of the family's 1533-position model. The record is from RNAcentral.
GAUGAACGCUGGCGGCGUGCCUAAUACAUGCAAGUCGAGCGAACGGACGAGAAGCUUGCUUUUCUGAUGUUAGCGGCGGACGGGUGAGUAACACGUGGAUAACCUACCUAUAAGACUGGGAUAACUUCGGGAAACCGGAGCUAAUACCGGAUAAUAUUUUGAACCGCAUGGUUCAAAAGUGAAAGACGGUCUUGCUGUCACUUAUAGAUGGAUCCGCGCUGCAUUGGCUAGUUGGUAAGGUAACGGCUUACCAAGGCAACGAUGCAGAGCCGACCUGAGAGGGUGAUCGGCCACACUGGAACUGAGCCACGGUCCAGACUCCUACGGGAGGCAGCAGUAGGGAAUCUUCCGCAAUGGGCGAAAGCCUGACGGAGCAACGCCGCGUGAGUGAUGAAGGUAUUCGGAUCGUAAAACUCUGUUAUUAGGGAAGAACAUAUGUGUAAGUAACUGUGCACAUCUUGACGGUACCUAAUCAGAAAGCCACGGCUAACUACGUG